RNAcentral lists this ribosomal RNA (294 nucleotides) under uncultured Microbulbifer sp. RNAcentral's name for it is "partial 16S ribosomal RNA". It matches the Rfam family "Bacterial small subunit ribosomal RNA", at positions 505 to 797 of the family's 1533-position model. Lineage: Bacteria; Pseudomonadati; Pseudomonadota; Gammaproteobacteria; Cellvibrionales; Microbulbiferaceae. The record is from RNAcentral.
GUGGCCAGCCGCCGCGGUAAUACGGAGGGUGCGAGCGUUAAUCGGAAUUACUGGGCGUAAAGCGCGCGUAGGCGGUUAGUUAAGCUGGAUGUGAAAGCCCCGGGCUCAACCUGGGAACUGCAUUCAAAACUGGCUGGCUAGAGUACGAGAGAGGGUAGUGGAAUUUCCUGUGUAGCGGUGAAAUGCGUAGAUAUAGGAAGGAACAUCAGUGGCGAAGGCGACUGCCUGGCUCGAUACUGACGCUGAGGUGCGAAAGCGUGGGGAGCAAACAGGAUUAGAUACCCGUGUAGUCCG